Molecule: non-coding RNA, 707 nt
Organism: Cavia porcellus (domestic guinea pig)
Lineage: Eukaryota; Metazoa; Chordata; Mammalia; Rodentia; Caviidae
Source: the annotation of a RefSeq genome assembly
AACCAGCGUCCCAACUGGGACAGACCUCAGACCUAUGAAACCCUACCAUGGAUAUUAUUGUCCCCUGCUGGGUGAUCUUUGGUCUCUUUGGGGCAGGGCAUUUGGUACCUGGUGUCAAGCAAACUCCCAGCCACAAGAUCACUGAGAUGGGACAUCCUGUGACUCUGAGGUGCGACCCCAUUUCUGGUCAAAAUUACAUCUACUGGUACCGACAGACUGCAGAAAGAGGAAUGGAAUUUAUGGCUUAUCUUUAUGACAAUGACCCCAUGGACAAAGCAGACUUUUUCAAGGAUCGAUUCUCACUAGAGAAACCUAAGGGAUCGCACUCCAUUAUGAAGAUCCAGCCCGUGCAGCUGGGAGACUUGGCUGUGUAUCUAUGUGCCAGCAGUGCAGCCACAGCCUCACACAGACAUUUCCUGUCUCUACAAAAACUCAGGUUACCACUAGGACAGAAGGAAAAUUUGGAGCUGUACAGUCUCAUAUUUGACAGGAAGCCUGUAGUUAAUCAUUCAAAGUGGGGGACAUAUGAGGGUGAAGAUGGUGCUGUUGAUUACACACGAGCAACUGACAUAGAGUGGAGGAGUCAAGUUGGUGCGAACGGGAGUGACACACACCCGGAAGGACAGCCACCUCUGGUCGCAAAUUUGAGUGGCGACCUGCCACAAGGCAUUGAUCUCUUGUCCGAUGAGUUGGAUUUCUUCUUGUAG